Long non-coding RNA from Anolis sagrei ordinatus, 613 nucleotides. RefSeq lists it as uncharacterized. Lineage: Eukaryota; Metazoa; Chordata; Lepidosauria; Squamata; Anolidae. The record is from RefSeq and is a predicted model, not a curated record.
ACUUCCAUUGCUGCAAACUGAGUUCAAAGUGCAAAUUUUGUUUGCACCCAGUUUUAAUCAUAGAGUUGCAAGAGAUCAUCAAGGCCAGCUAGCCUAACCCCAUUCCACCAUGCAGGAAGAUACAAUCAAAGCACUCCUCACAGAUGGCCAUCCAGCUUCCAUUAAAAAAAAACCCAGAGAAGGAAACUCUGCCACAAAAUAUCAGUGAGGGGAGGACGAAAGGCACCAGGUCGUCCAUUGUGAGAAGCAACAAAUCCUUAUUAUGUUCUUAUAUUUCACUCUAUAUUCUUCUCUGUCUCAUGGGCUUUAAGAGCAUCUAAUCAAACUGACAGAGAAUCUUCAAAUCUGAGAGGAGCAAGUCGCUUCUGGUGUGAGAGAAUUGGCCAUCUGCAAGGAUGUUGCCCGGGGGACGCCUGGAUGAUUUGAAGUGGAAGGCUUCUCUCAUGUCCCCGCAUGAAGAGCUGGAGCUGAUAGAGGGAGCUCAUCCGCCUCUCCCCAGAUUCGAACCUGUGACCUGUCGGUCUUCAGUCCUGCCGGCACAGGGGUUGAACCCACUGUGCCACUGGGGGCUCCUAUGUUGAAUAGUGUGAACAAUAUACUAAAGUGGACAAUA